This 1992-nucleotide ribosomal RNA is filed under the name bioreactor metagenome. Its description in RNAcentral is "bacterial LSU rRNA". It matches the Rfam family "Bacterial large subunit ribosomal RNA", at positions 3 to 1985 of the family's 2925-position model. The record is from RNAcentral.
UCAAGGUAAUAAGGGCAUACGGUGGAUGCCUUGGUCGUAGGAGGCGAAGAAGGGCGCGGCAAGCUGCGAAAAGCCACGGUAAGGUGCAAGCGACCGAAGAGCCGUGGGUACCCGAAUGGGGAAACCCGGUGAGUGGAGACACUCAUCAUCCCGAGAGGGAGGCGAACCCGGUGAAGUGAAACAUCUCAGUAGCCGGAGGAAAAGAAAGCGAAGCGAUAGCGUGAGUAGUGGUGAGCGAAAGCGCUGGAGUCCAAACCGAAGACGUGUCAAGCGCGCGGGCGUUGCGUCUUUGGGGUAGCGGGACGUUCGGGGGGGGACUGCGCGAACCCACUCAGACGGAAGGUGUUUAGGAGAAAUCCAUGGGAAGGGAUACCGAAGAAGGUGAAAGUCCUGUAACCGAAAAGCACCGAAGGUGAGGAACGAUCCCAAGUAGUGCCGGGCACGUGAAAUCCGGUAUGAAUCAGGGGAGACCACUCUCCAAGACUAAAUACUCCUACGGACCGAUAGUGAAGAAGUACCGUGAGGGAAAGGUGAAAAGCACCCCGGGAGGGGAGUGAAAGAGAACCUGAAACCGUAUGCCUACAAGAAGAGGGAGCGAAAGUGACCUCGUGCCUUUUGAGUAAUGUGCCUGCGAGUGGUCGUAUCGGGCGAGGUUAAGCCGAGGAAGGCGGAGCCGGAGGGAAACCGAGUCUGAAGAGGGCGAGAUAGUCCGAUGCGAUCGACCCGAAGCCAGGUGAGCUACCCAUGUCCAGGGUGAAGGUGGGGUAAGACCCACUGGAGGCCCGAACCGGUGGACAGUAAAAAGUUUUCGGAUGAGAUGUGGGUAGGAGUGAAAAGCUAACCGAACCUGGUGAUAGCUGGUACUCCCCGAAACGUAUUGAGGUACGGCCUCAGGGGGUCCCUUGCGGGGGUAGAGCGCUGGAUGGGGUAGGGGAGCAAUCUCCGAACUCAACCAAACUGCGAAUACCGCAAGGAAGAACCUGGGAGACAGCCCGCGGGGGAUAAGCUCCGCGGACGAGAGGGAAACAACCCAGACCGUCGGCUAAGGUCCCGAAGAGAUCGCUUAGUGUGCAAGGAAGUGGUGUGUCCGAGACAGCUGGGAGGUUGGCUUAGAAGCAGCCAUCCUUGAAAGAGUGCGUAACAGCUCACCAGUUAAGACACGCUGCGCCGAAGAUAGAGGGGGCUGAAGCGAUUCACCGAAGCCGCGGAAUGUGCAAACAUUGGUAGGGGAGCAUUGCGCCGAGGGAGAAAGUCGUACUGAGAAGGCGGCUGGACGGAGCGCAAGGGAGGAUGCAGGCAUGAGUAACGAGAAGACGGUGAGAAUCCGUCUCCCCGAAAGCCUAAGGGUACCUGGGGAAGGGUCGUCCACCCAGGGUAAGCCGGUCCUAAGGCCAACCCGAAAGGGGUAACCGAUGGAAAGCCGGUAAAGAUUCCGGCGCCAGGAGUCCGGGAGGAACGAGCGGGGACACAGAAGGAUAGGCUCUGCGAAGAAAUGGGAAAUUCGUCCAAGCCUCGAGCCGAUGACGCGUGUAGGGAAGACCGCACGCGGAGGUAAGGGGUGAAGGGGAGUUCAUCGAAGGAUGGGCAACGGAGCUGAAUUCAUGCUGUCAAGAAAAGCCGCGCGAACCGGUGAACGGAAGCCUGACCGUUCUAGAAACCGACACAGGUAGGCUAGUUGAAAAGACUAAGGGGAGCGGGAGAACCUCCGCUAAGGAACUAGGCAAAAUAGCCCCGUAACUUCGGGAGAAGGGGUGCUCCUGCGGGUAUCAAAGCCUGCGGGAGCUGCAAUAACAAGGCUCUGGCGACUGUUUACCAAAAACACAGGACUCUGCGAACACGAAGAGUGGACGUAUAGGGUCUGACGCCUGCCCAGUGCUGGAAGGUUAAGGGGAGUGGUCAGCGCAAGCGAAGCUACGAACCGAAGCCCCAGUAAACGGCGGCCGUAACUAUAACGGUCCUAAGGUAGCGAAAUUCCUUGUCGGGUAAGUUCCG